AUGCCAGGAAAAUGCCAGGAUUUGUGGAGGGCCCACAGCUACGAAGAAAUCUCAGGUGGAGUCCUGGGGAACCAAUGGGGGAUCCCAGCCUCAGGCCUGCCGGGACGGUGUGCAGGAGGGAUGCAGACCAACGUCAAAGAAGAUGGUUCUAGAUGGUCCUUACUUCUCCCAUCCUCUCCUCUCAUUGAGAAAUGUUGCCACACCCACACCAUGACACAGGCUUGGAGAGAAAGCUGGGAACAGGAUGUGGACUGGCCACUCCUUCUUCCCAGAUGCCCAUGGUGGUGGCAUUAUCCUUUAUCCAGCCUGAGCUCUGGCCACUGCUCGGUCCUCCCUCUCACUCUGUCUGCCAUGUAUCUGAGGGGCCUAUUUCUUCCUUCCUCUGGCUCAGUGUCUUCAACAAAUAACACUUUUGAGUCCAUCAGGUUGAAACAUUUUCGAGUUCCGUUUAAUGAUUGUUUCCCUCUCCAAACAUAUUUCUAUAGAUUGGGUAGGCAUGACCAUCCUGGAGCACUGGUCUUCCAUACCCAUUUCAGAUAAGGAAGCUCGUUUGGUCUCCAUGUCCCAACUGAUGGCUGCAUGUUUCAUCUAGGAUGAACUGUCAGUGGCUGGCCUUUGCCUUAUUUGAAAGGGGGUGUUAUUGCCUUUCAUCAGGACUUCCUGUCUCAUUCUUGAGGGACAUCCACUUCCUCUGCUCCUGGGUGGGACUGCCUCCCAACACACAAUCUUUUGGCUGCAACAGACGUCAGGGAGCCAAAGGGACUGGGUUUUGGCUGGGUACAGGGGUGGUUGCCUCAGGGAUACAUAGUUGUUGCAUUGCCCAGGGUAGGGUGUACUUUGCACAAAUCUCUCUGCUCCUCUGGCAGGCAUCCCUGAAUGUGGCUUGGAUUCUGGCACAGGCCCUCUCCUGGUUCCCAGGUGUGCUUUGCUUUUACUUUGCUUUCUUGGGGAGGUCUCCAAUGUUCCCCCCAACCCCCCCGGGGUGCAUGCCUGGACAUCAUUGACAGUCUCGCUAUUACCCCAUAGCCACGGGGACACAUGCUCACUCCAACUUUUCUUGGGGGAUGCCAGUGCCACGUGUGGUCACAUUUCCUCCACCUCUGACUCGCCCCCUUCCCUGUUUGCACCUGUCUGGGAAAGGAGUGUAGGGAUGCAGGAGCCCAGGGGCUUUGCGGACCAGAGCAGGCCACUGCUCCGCCCAGAGAGUAGGAGGGAAGAAGUGGACUCAUGGGUCAGUGAAUUUUCAGGUGACAUCAUGCCUUCAGUUACAUGGAAUCUUUCUGUGCCUCAUCGAGAACCUCCCCGCCUCAGCGUAUUAUAACCCCAUCCCUGCUGACCCAGUGGGGUCCAAAAUUGGAUCCGUGGAGGAGUCCGCAGAUCCCAGCUGGUGCCCUAAAGCUCCUACUUCACUAGGAACCAAACCAGAAAACGGCUCAAGGUGGUUCUCAGGACCGGACUCUUAGUUGUCCGGUUCUGGGUCUUGCACAGUCUCCUUUCCCUUCUCCUCCUUAAA
RNAcentral lists this long non-coding RNA (1513 nucleotides) under Papio anubis (olive baboon). Its description in RNAcentral is "lncRNA (ENSPANG00000040805.1)". The record is from RNAcentral. Lineage: Eukaryota; Metazoa; Chordata; Mammalia; Primates; Cercopithecidae.